AUGGAGCGUCRUAGAGGGUGAGAAUCCCGUCUUUGGMAUGGAACCCCAGGGCUUCUGUGAUGCGCUCUCAAAGAGUCGAGUUGUUUGGRAAUGCAGCUCAAAAUGGGUGGUGAACUCCAUCUAAAGCUAAAUAUUGGCGAGAGACCGAUAGCGAACAAGUACCGUGAGGGAAAGAUGAAAAGCACUUUGGAAAGAGAGUGAAACAGUACGUGAAAUUGUUGAAAGGGAAACGCUUCAAGUCAGUCGCGUCGACCGAGACUCAGCCUCGCCUUGGCUUGGUGUACUUCUCGGCCCGACGGGUCAGCAUCAAUUUCGAUCCUUGGAUAAUGGCAAGGGAAAGGUGGCACCUUUACAGGUGUGUUAUAGUCCUCUGUCGGAUGCAAGGGUCGGGAUUGAGGAACUCAGCAUGCACCUCAUCGGUGUCGGGGCCUCGGCCUACGUUACGUGCUUAGGAUGCUGGCAUAAUGGCUUUAAACGACCCGUCUUGAAACACGGACCAAGGAGUCUAACAUGCACGCGAGUGUUCGGGUGGAAAACCCGUGCGCGUAAUGAAAGUAAAAGUUGGGACCUCUGUCGUGGGAGGGCACCGACGCCCGGACCAGACCUUUCUGUGACGGCUCUGCGGUAGAGCGUGUAUGUUGGGACCCGAAAGAUGGUGAACUAUGCCUGAAUAGGGUGAAGCCAGAGGAAACUCUGGUGGAGGCUCGUAGCGAUUCUGACGUGCAAAUCGAUCGUCAAUUUGGGUA
Molecule: ribosomal RNA, 746 nt
Filed under: Russula aff. foetens
Lineage: Eukaryota; Fungi; Basidiomycota; Agaricomycetes; Russulales; Russulaceae
Description: partial large subunit ribosomal RNA
Source: RNAcentral